This 465-nucleotide ribosomal RNA is filed under the name uncultured bacterium. Its description in RNAcentral is "partial 16S ribosomal RNA". It matches the Rfam family "Bacterial small subunit ribosomal RNA", at positions 339 to 795 of the family's 1533-position model. The record is from RNAcentral.
CUACGGGACGCAGCAGUGGGGAAUAUUGGACAAUGGGGGAAACCCUGAUCCAGCAAUGCCGCGUGUGUGAAGAAGGCCUGCGGGUUGUAAAGCACUUUCGGUUGGGAGGACUGCUUCUAGCACUAAUAUUGUUGGAAGUUGACGUUACCUUCAGAAGAAGCACCGGCUAACUCCGUGCCAGCAGCCGCGGUAAUACGGAGGGUGCAGGCGUUAAUCGGACUUACUGGGCGUAAAGCGCGCGUAGGCGGCUAGAUCAGUCGGGUGUGAAAGCCCCGGGCUUAACCUGGGAACUGCAUCCGAUACUGUCUAGCUUGAGUACAGGAGAGGAGAGUGGAAUUCCACAUGUAGCGGUGAAAUGCGUAGAUAUGUGGAGGAACACCAAUGGCGAAGGCAGCUCUCUGGCCUGAUACUGACGCUGAGGUGCGAAAGCGUGGGGAGCAAACAGGAUUAGAUACCCGGGUAGUC